This 1487-nucleotide ribosomal RNA is filed under the name metagenome. Its description in RNAcentral is "bacterial SSU rRNA". It matches the Rfam family "Bacterial small subunit ribosomal RNA". The record is from RNAcentral.
AGAGUUUGAUCCUGGCUCAGAUUGAACGCUGGCGGCAUGCCUUACACAUGCAAGUCGAACGGCAGCACGGGAGCAAUCCUGGUGGCAAGUGGCGAACGGGUGAGUAAUACAUCGGAACGUGCCCAGUUGUGGGGGAUAGCCCGGCGAAAGCCGGAUUAAUACCGCAUACGACCUACGGGUGAAAGCGGGGGAUCGCAAGACCUCGCGCAAUUGGAGCGGCCGAUGGCAGAUUAGCUUGUUGGUGGGGUAAAAGCCUACCAAGGCGACGAUCUGUAGCUGGUCUGAGAGGACGACCAGCCACACUGGGACUGAGACACGGCCCAGACUCCUACGGGAGGCAGCAGUGGGGAAUUUUGGACAAUGGGCGCAAGCCUGAUCCAGCCAUGCCGCGUGUGGGAAGAAGGCCUUCGGGUUGUAAACCACUUUUGUCAGGGAAGAAACGGUCUGAUCUAAUAAAUCGGACUAAUGACGGUACCUGAAGAAUAAGCACCGGCUAACUACGUGCCAGCAGCCGCGGUAAUACGUAGGGUGCAAGCGUUAAUCGGAAUUACUGGGCGUAAAGCGUGCGCAGGCGGCUAUGCAAGACAGAUGUGAAAUCCCCGGGCUCAACCUGGGAACUGCAUUUGUGACUGCAUGGCUAGAGUACGGCAGAGGGGGAUGGAAUUCCGCGUGUAGCAGUGAAAUGCGUAGAUAUGCGGAGGAACACCGAUGGCGAAGGCAAUCCCCUGGGCCUGUACUGACGCUCAUGCACGAAAGCGUGGGGAGCAAACAGGAUUAGAUACCCUGGUAGUCCACGCCCUAAACGAUGUCAACUGGUUGUUGGACGGCUUGCUGUUCAGUAACGAAGCUAACGCGUGAAGUUGACCGCCUGGGGAGUACGGCCGCAAGGUUGAAGCUCAAAGGAAUUGACGGGGACCCGCACAAGCGGUGGAUGAUGUGGUUUAAUUCGAUGCAACGCGAAAAACCUUACCUACCCUUGACAUGUCUAGAAGUUUCCAGAGAUGGAUUCGUGCUCGAAAGAGAACUAGAACACAGGUGCUGCAUGGCCGUCGUCAGCUCGUGUCGUGAGAUGUUGGGUUAAGUCCCGCAACGAGCGCAACCCUUAUCAUUAGUUGCUACGCAAGGGCACUCUAAUGAGACUGCCGGUGACAAACCGGAGGAAGGUGGGGAUGACGUCAGGUCAUCAUGGCCCUUAUGGGUAGGGCUACACACGUCAUACAAUGGCCGGUACAGAGGGCUGCCAACUCGCGAGAGGGAGCUAAUCUCAGAAAACCGGUCGUAGUCCGGAUCGCAGUCUGCAACUCGACUGCGUGAAGUCGGAAUCGCUAGUAAUCGCGGAUCAGCUUGCCGCGGUGAAUACGUUCCCGGGUCUUGUACACACCGCCCGUCACACCAUGGGAGCGGGUUCUGCCAGAAGUAGUUAGCCUAACCGCAAGGAGGGCGAUUACCACGGCAGGGUCCGUGACUGGUGAAGUCGUAACAAGGUA